GGCGAGUUUGAUCAUGGCUCAGAACGAACGCUGGCGGCAUGCCUAACACAUGCAAGUCGAACGCCUAUAGCAAUAUAGGAGUGGCGCACGGGUGAGUAACGCGUGGGAACCUGCCCCGAGGUGGGGGAUAACCGAUGGAAACGUCGGCUAAUACCGCAUACGACCUGAGGGUGAAAGAUUUAUCGCCUUGGGAGGGGCCCGCGUCGGAUUAGCUAGUUGGUGGGGUAACGGCCUACCAAGGCGAUGAUCCGUAGCUGGUCUGAGAGGAUGAUCAGCCACACUGGGACUGAGACACGGCCCAGACUCCUACGGGAGGCAGCAGUGGGGAAUAUUGGACAAUGGGCGCAAGCCUGAUCCAGCAAUGCCGCGUGAGUGAUGAAGGCCUUAGGGUUGUAAAGUCCUUUCGGCGGGGAAGAUAAUGACGGUACCCGCAGAAGAAGCCCCGGCUAACUUCGUGCCAGCAGCCGCGGUAAAAAGU
Molecule: ribosomal RNA, 478 nt
Filed under: uncultured bacterium
Lineage: Bacteria
Description: bacterial SSU rRNA
Rfam family: Bacterial small subunit ribosomal RNA
Source: RNAcentral